AGUGAACGCUGGCGGUAGGCCUAACACAUGCAAGUCGAACGGCAGCACAGGAGAGCUUGCACUCUGGGUGGCGAGUGGCGGACGGGUGAGGAAUACAUCGGAAUCUACUUUUUCGUGGGGGAUAACGUAGGGAAACUUACGCUAAUACCGCAUACGACCUACGGGUGAAAGCAGGGGACCUUCGGGCCUUGCGCGAUUGAAUGAGCCGAUGUCGGAUUAGCUAGUUGGCGGGGUAAAGGCCCACCAAGGCGACGAUCCGUAGCUGGUCUGAGAGGAUGAUCAGCCACACUGGAACUGGGAGACGGUCCAGACUCCUACGGGAGGCAGCAGUGGGGAAUAUUGGACAAUGGGCGCAAGCCUGAUCCAGCCAUACCGCGUGGGUGAAGAAGGCCUUCGGGUUGUAAAGCCCUUUUGUUGGGAAAGAAAUCCAGCUGGCUAAUACCCGGUUGGGAUGACGGUACCCAAAGAAUAAGCACCGGCUAACUUCGUGCCAGCCGCCGCCGUAA
This 506-nucleotide ribosomal RNA is filed under the name uncultured bacterium. Its description in RNAcentral is "partial 16S ribosomal RNA". It matches the Rfam family "Bacterial small subunit ribosomal RNA", at positions 29 to 523 of the family's 1533-position model. The record is from RNAcentral.